UACGGAGGGGGCGAGCGUUAUUCGGAAUUAUUGGGCGUAAAGGGCGCGUAGGCGGCUUGAUGUGUCAAAGGUGAAAUCCCUCGGCUCAACUGAGGAACUGCCUUUGAAACUGUCUGGCUUGAGGCCGGGAGAGGGUAGCGGAAUUCCACGUGUAGCGGUGAAAUGCGUAGAGAUGUGGAGGAACACCGAUGGCGAAGGCAGCCUCCUGGGCCAAUACUGACGCUCAUGCACGAAAGCGUGGGGAGCAAACAGG
RNAcentral lists this ribosomal RNA (253 nucleotides) under uncultured bacterium. RNAcentral describes it as "partial 16S ribosomal RNA". It matches the Rfam family "Bacterial small subunit ribosomal RNA", at positions 524 to 776 of the family's 1533-position model. The record is from RNAcentral.